CGGGGGGAGCAAGCGUUGUUCGGAUUUACUGGGCGUAAAGGGCGCGUAGGCGGCCACCGCAAGUCGACUGUGAAAUCUCCGGGCUUAACUCGGAAAGGUCAGCCGAUACUGCGGGGCUAGAGUGCAGAAGGGGCAACUGGAAUUCUCGGUGUAGCGGUGAAAUGCGUAGAUAUCGAGAGGAACACCUGCGGCGAAGGCGGGUUGCUGGGCUGACACUGACGCUGAUGUGCGAAAGCUAGGGGAGCGAACGGGAUUAGAUACCCCGGUAGUCCUAGCCUUAAACGAUGAAUGCUUGGUGUCUGGGGUUUAUAGUCCCCGGGUGCCGUCGCUAACGCUUUAAGCAUUCCGCCUGGGGAGUACGGUCGCAAGACUG
Molecule: ribosomal RNA, 373 nt
Filed under: uncultured organism
Description: bacterial SSU rRNA
Rfam family: Bacterial small subunit ribosomal RNA
Source: RNAcentral